This 440-nucleotide ribosomal RNA is filed under the name uncultured bacterium. RNAcentral describes it as "partial 16S ribosomal RNA". It matches the Rfam family "Bacterial small subunit ribosomal RNA", at positions 338 to 795 of the family's 1533-position model. The record is from RNAcentral.
CCUACGGGUGGCAGCAGUAGGGAAUAUUGCACAAUGGGGGAAACCCUGAAGCAGCAACGCCGCGUGGAGGAUGAAGGUUUUAGGAUUGUAAACUCCUUUUGUGAGAGAGGAUAAUGACGUUAUCACACGAAUAAGCACCGGCUAACUCCGUCCCAGCAGCCGCGGUAAUACGGAGGGUGCAAGCGUUACUCGGAAUCACUGGUCGUAAAGAGUGCGCAGGCGGGCUUGUAAGUCAGAUGUGAAAUCCUGUAGCUUAACUACAGAACUGCAUUUGAAACUGUGAGUCUAGAGUGUGGGAGAGGUAGGUAGAAUUCUUGGUGUAGGGGUAAAAUGCGUAGAUAUCAAGAGGAAUACUCAUUGCGAAGGCGACCUCCUGGAACAUUACUGACGCUCAUGCGCGAAAGCGUGGGGAGCAAACAGGAUUAGAUACCCUAGUAGUC